GACGAACGCUGGCGGCGUGCUUAACACAUGCAAGUCGAACGGAAAGGCCCUGCUUUUGUGGGGUGCUCGAUUGGCGAACGGGUGAGUAACACGUGAGUAACCUGCCCUUAACUUAGGGAUAACUUCAGGAAACUGGGGCUAAUACCGGAUAGGAGCUCCUGCUGCAUGGUGGGGGUUGGAAAGUUUCGGCGGUUGGGGAUGGACUCGCGGCUUAUCAGCUUGUUGGUGGGGUAGUGGCUUACCAAGCCUUUGACGGGUAGCCGGCCUGAGAGGGUGACCGGCCACAAUGGGACUGAGAUACGGCCCAGACUCCUACGGGAGGCAGCAGUGGGGAAUAUUGCACAAUGGGCGGAAGCCUGAUGCAGCAACGCCGCGUGCGGGAUGACGGCCUUCGGGUUGUAAACCGCUUUCGCCUGUGACGAAGCGUGAGUGACGGUAAUGGGUAAAGAAGCACCGGCUAACUACGUG
This 468-nucleotide ribosomal RNA is filed under the name uncultured bacterium. RNAcentral's name for it is "partial 16S ribosomal RNA". It matches the Rfam family "Bacterial small subunit ribosomal RNA", at positions 28 to 507 of the family's 1533-position model. The record is from RNAcentral.